AUGACCGCAGAGAGAGACCAGUUACAGACCAGUUACAACAACAUGACCGCAGAGAGAGACCAGUUACAGACCAGUUACAACAACAUGACCGCAGAGAGAGACCAGUUCCAGACUAGUUACAACAGCAUGACUGCAGAGAGAGACCAGUUACAGACCAGUUACAAUCUCCUGACAACAGAGAAAGAACAGAUAGAAAGACAGGUUAAGCAAGUAACUGGUGAAAAGGACAAUUUACAGACCAGUCACAAUGACAUGAGAAACCAGCGAGACCAAUUACAACAACUCUACGCUAAAUGUGGAUGCUUCAGGAUUGGAGAUAGAGUCAGAGUGAAAGCCUCUAUACAAACUCCAAAGUACCAAUGGGGAGAUGCUUCACACAAAAGUGUUGGAGUGAUUACAACUCUUAAAGGUGAUGAUAUGGUUGUAAAUUUUCCUGAGCAUUCGGGUUGGAAAGGCAGAAAUUCUGAAAUGGAACUUGUUACUGGUUGUAACUAAAAUAGGAUCUCAUGCAGGAAAUGUAUGGCACCAUCCAUCCCUGGAAAAUACACACACAUGUCCAGAAUCCAGUAUCUUACAUCAUUUAGAUAUAAAAAAACAUUCAUUAUUCUUAUAUCUUCUCAUAUCAGAUUGACCAAAUAAGUGGAUGGAAAUUUAAACAUAAUCUAGCUGAAGUUUGAUGUACUGUUACAGCUUAGCACAAGUUGUCUUGUUUUCUCUUUUCUUUGCCCUUGUUCCUGGCUUGUUUUCUUUCCUUUCUGUUUCUGUGUAUUUCGUGUUUGUUUCCCCUCUGAGAGAUUCUGUCAACAACAAAUUGUACUUUUAUUAAGGUUUCAACAUUGAGAGUUUCCUUAGCUUCUAAACUUACUCACUCCCUACCCCCCUAUUCCCCUUUACACAGAUAUCAUUGCUAAAGGUAGUUGAUGCUCAUCUGUCUCAACAUUGCCUUCUUUGUUUAAGUCAUUUAUAUGGUAAUUUGAAAUCCCAGCUAAGGUGACUACCAUCUGAUGACCAUCAACCCCCAAUGAAGACACCCCCCACAUACUCCUCCCUAAACCCCUACCUUUCUUCCCCCUGCUGUGUUCAAAGCAGUUUCUACUGUAUGUAAAGUCCUACUGAAAUGUCUUAGUAGUUCAGUCUAGUUGAGUUGAGUCUAGUUCAGUCUAGAGAGUCUCACACAGACAAGUCACAUGGACUAGUCAGGCGGACACAGAGGGAGCAACGACCAACUAAGCUGUGCUCGUGUAGAUUUUCUGUCUGCACGAGAAUAAACUCAAGUCAUCCCUCA
This 1285-nucleotide long non-coding RNA is filed under the name Astyanax mexicanus (Mexican tetra). RNAcentral's name for it is "lncRNA (ENSAMXG00005023875.1)". The record is from RNAcentral. Lineage: Eukaryota; Metazoa; Chordata; Actinopteri; Characiformes; Acestrorhamphidae.